This 68-nucleotide microRNA precursor is filed under the name Bombyx mori (domestic silkworm). RNAcentral's name for it is "mir-2774 microRNA precursor family". It matches the Rfam family "mir-2774 microRNA precursor family". The record is from Rfam by way of RNAcentral. Lineage: Eukaryota; Metazoa; Arthropoda; Insecta; Lepidoptera; Bombycidae.
ACAACGUUUGUGGCAUUCGAUCUACCCAGCAAUUUCACCCGCUCGAUGGAAGAUCUUCCCUUUGUCGU